Molecule: long non-coding RNA, 395 nt
Filed under: Dendronephthya gigantea
Lineage: Eukaryota; Metazoa; Cnidaria; Anthozoa; Malacalcyonacea; Nephtheidae
Description: uncharacterized LOC114538345
Source: RNAcentral
AGCUGUGGUGAAUAAGAAAAACGCAACUUCAAAGUGUUCAUGAAAUUCACUUUCGUUUUGAUCACAAAAGAUCGUAUAGCGUAUCAAAAUAUUCAUAAAUAUUAAGUGUUGUGUUUUUUUAAACAUCCUGUAUAAGUGCGGUCAUUAUAUCGAUGAAAAGCCAUUUCAAGCUAGAAGAUUAAAUUUUAGCAGAUCAAAGAUGUUUGGAGUUGUUAAGAUCGUUGUUAUAUUCCUAGUCUUUGCAGAUAAUGCGGUUGAAUGUUUUAAACUUGGUCAGCUUUGCAGCUCAAAUGGUAGAAAUUUAAUCCGUGAAUGUGACAGUCAGGGUUGUGGUGAUUUCGGAACACCAAGAGGUUCUCGUACACACAAUGGUGUCGACAUAAUUUGCAAACCAG